This 48-nucleotide ribosomal RNA is filed under the name Cladiella tuberculosa. Its description in RNAcentral is "partial 18S ribosomal RNA". It matches the Rfam family "Eukaryotic small subunit ribosomal RNA", at positions 1784 to 1831 of the family's 1831-position model. Lineage: Eukaryota; Metazoa; Cnidaria; Anthozoa; Malacalcyonacea; Cladiellidae. The record is from RNAcentral.
AAAAGUCGUUACAAGGUUUCCGUAGGUGAACCUGCGGAAGGAUCAUUA